Molecule: long non-coding RNA, 1184 nt
Filed under: Salvia miltiorrhiza (redroot sage)
Lineage: Eukaryota; Viridiplantae; Streptophyta; Magnoliopsida; Lamiales; Lamiaceae
Description: long non-coding RNA (SMIL_LNC005248)
Source: RNAcentral
GAGGCCUCUAUUCAAUAGAUGCUUCUGUCCUGUCAUGGAUGAAUGUGUGGAUGAGUGAGAAGAAGAUGGAGAGGAGGCUUCUGGUGAUUCCAAGGACUCUCGUGUUCUUCCCUUCUGCAAAUCCGGAUCUUUCGCCUGCAAAUGUAAGUCGUUUACUUUACUUCUUACUAGAAUUCAUUUAUGGUAUAGGCAGCUAUAUAUAGAAAGGAAAUGCAGUUUUCUCUCCUCUCUUUUUUUUUUUUUUUCAAGAAAUGAGAAACUGAUUUAUGUUAAAGAGUCUUACUAUGACUGCUUUUGUUGCAUUACGAGGCUCCAAUUGUUGUUGGGAACCUUGAGAAAACAAGAAACAAAUGCCAGCAAUUUUAGCCAAAUAGAUUAACAACUAUACAAGUUAUAUAGCAGUUGGUUUUUUACUACGAGUACAAGAUAAUUAAACAUAUCAAGCCUUAUCCCAUAUUGUCGAACAAACGAGCCUUAGGUGUAGAAUUGAACCCUCUAAUUAGAAGCUAUGCACAUUGUUAUCACAACUUAUAUAACACACACACACACGACUUGAAACUUACAAUAUCACGUUAAUUAGAGAAUUUUAUAAGCAUGAUUUAAUGUUCUGAAUAAAUGUUGGUGUGCUAUGUUACAUAAAAUUAUUCAAAUUAUGCUGUGCUUUUCAUGAAAAAAAGUGACAUAUUUUCAGGUGAUCAGCUUGUUGAAUGAAUGUUGCAAGCUACCUAUUAGUAGCUUCUUGCGUGGGUGGCUCCCAAAACUCCGACCAACGAAAAAGAGGCGAUGAUCGAAGAGCUGAAAUAUGCCGUUGAUGCACCCAAUCUGCCUCGGCAGCACAUCUUCAUUUCCAUCUGAAGUUUUCACCAUCUUUGCUGCGAAAAUCGCUCUCUUCUUCAGUAACCUGAUCAAGAAUUACGACUGUAACUGUAAGCAUAUAUACAUAUUUGCAUAUUGAACGAUCAAUCUCUCCGCAAAUGUGCAGAAAAAAGAGAAGAGGAGAACUCACAGAUGAAGAGAAGGAUGUUAAAUUUGAAAAGAUUUUUUUGGUGGUGUGAAGAAAGGUGAAUGCAAGAGGAGAGGGAAUGUUUAUAUAUACAAAGAUAAGUUUAAUGUUGUAGUAAUAUAUUUGAGUUUGAGAGACAAUGUAACGUGCAUGGGCACGUGUAUUCUGUCAAUGUCAUUAC